AGUGAACGCUGGCGGUAGGCCUAACACAUGCAAGUCGAACGGCAGCACAGUAAGAGCUUGCUCUUACGGGUGGCGAGUGGCGGACGGGUGAGGAAUACAUCGGAAUCUACUUUUUCGUGGGGGAUAACGUAGGGAAACUUACGCCAAUACCGCAUACGACCUACGGGUGAAAGCAGGGGAUCUUCGGACCUUGCGCGAUUGAAUGAGCCGAUGUCGGAUUAGCUAGUUGGCGGGGUAAAGGCCCACCAAGGCGACGAUCCGUAGCUGGUCUGAGAGGAUGAUCAGCCACACUGGAACUGAGACACGGUCCAGACUCCUACGGGAGGCAGCAGUGGGGAAUAUUGGAUAAUGGGCGCAAGCCUGAUCCAGCCAUACCGCGUGGGUGAAGAAGGCCUUCGGGUUGUAAAGCCCUUUUGUUGGGAAAGAAAAGCAGCAGGUUAAUACCCCGCUGUUCUGACGGUACCCAAAGAAUAAGCACCGGCUAACUUCGUG
This 492-nucleotide ribosomal RNA is filed under the name uncultured bacterium. RNAcentral describes it as "partial 16S ribosomal RNA". It matches the Rfam family "Bacterial small subunit ribosomal RNA", at positions 29 to 507 of the family's 1533-position model. The record is from RNAcentral.